Molecule: ribosomal RNA, 898 nt
Filed under: uncultured archaeon
Lineage: Archaea
Description: bacterial SSU rRNA
Rfam family: Archaeal small subunit ribosomal RNA
Source: RNAcentral
UUCCGGUUGAUCCUGCCGGACCCUACUGCUAUCGGGAUAGGACUAAGACAUGCUAGUCGUGCGCCUCCAAGCCAUGGUGGAGGCGCGGCGCACAGCUCAGUAACACGUGGUUAACCUGCCCUUGGGACGGAAACACCCCCGGGAAACUGGGGCUAAUUUCCGAUAGGUGAAGGCUCCUGGAAUGGAUCUUCGCCUAAAGGGCGCUUAGGCCAUGCUUCUAGGCGCUGCCCAAGGAUGGGGCCGCGGCCGAUCAGGUUGUUGGUGAGGUAAUAGCUCACCAAGCCUUUAACCGGUUCGGGGCCGUGGGAGCGGGAGCCCGGAGAUGGGCACUGAGACAAGGGGCCCAGGGCCUACGGGGCGCAGCCAGUCGCGAAAAACUCCGCAAUACGCGAAGGCGUGACGGGGCUAUCCCGAGUGCCGUCCGCUGAGGAUGGCUUUUCCCUAGUGUAGAUAGCUGGGGGAAUAAGGAGAGGGCAAGUCUGGUGUCAGCCGCCGCGGUAAUACCAGCUCUCCGAGUGGUGGGGACGUUUAUUGGGCCUGAAGCAUCCGUAGCCAGCUGAGCAAGUCCCCAGUUAAAUCCAGCGAUUUAAUCGUUGGACUGCUGGGGAUACUGUCCGGCUAGGGGGUGGGAGAAGCCGACGGUAUUCCCGGGGUAGGGGUGAAAUCCUAUAAUCCCGGGAGGACCACCAGUGGCGAAGGCUGUUGGCUAAAACAUGCCCGACGGUGAGGGAUGAAAGCUGGGGGAGCGAACCGGAUUAGAUACCCGGGUAGUCCCAGCUGUAAACGAUGCAGGCUAGGUGUUAGGGCGGCCACGUGCCGCUCUAGUGCCGCAGGGAAGCUGUUAACCUGCCGCCUGGGGAGUACGCCGCAAGGCUGAAACUUAAAGGAAUUGGCGGGA